RNAcentral lists this ribosomal RNA (301 nucleotides) under uncultured bacterium. Its description in RNAcentral is "partial 16S ribosomal RNA". It matches the Rfam family "Bacterial small subunit ribosomal RNA", at positions 509 to 809 of the family's 1533-position model. The record is from RNAcentral.
CAGCAGCCGCGGGAAUACGUAGGUGGCGAGCGUUGUCCGGAUUUAUUGGGCGUAAAGGGAGUGUAGGCGGUCUUUUAAGUCUGAUGUGAAAGCCCACGGCUCAACCGUGGAGGGUCAUUGGAAACUGGGAGACUUGAGUGCAGAAGAGGAGAGCGGAAUUCCAUGUGUAGCGGUGAAAUGCGUAGAUAUAUGGAGGAACACCAGUGGCGAAGGCGGCUCUCUGGUCUGUAACUGACGCUGAGGCUCGAAAGCGUGGGGAGCAAACAGGAUUAGAUACCCCAGUAGUCCCUGUCUCUUAUAU